Carassius carassius (crucian carp) is the source of this 3904-nucleotide long non-coding RNA. RefSeq lists it as uncharacterized. NCBI's taxonomy places the organism in Eukaryota, Metazoa, Chordata, Actinopteri, Cypriniformes, Cyprinidae. The transcript has 2 exons. The record is from RefSeq and is a predicted model, not a curated record.
GUUUUAGUCAUGUGACGCAGUCAUGAUAUUGGUACUGGAGGGUAAAUGAUGACAGAAUUUAGAUUUUUGUGUGAAAUAUCCCUUUAAGACUAGACGAAAGCAGCAGCUCUUGGACAGAAGAUUGUUUGAAGAUGGAAUUAGAACGUUAUCUGUUAGAAAAGUUAUCAGAGACUCAAUAUUCUGCUAGAUUAGCCUUCAUCCUCUGAUCGGGUCAGUUUGACCCCAAAUGGCUUUAUUUUUUAAUAAUUGUGUCUUCACCUGAGUCACGCUAAAUCCAGACACAUUUAUUUUUACAUGCAUACCUAUUCUACACCUCAACAAUCCCUCUAAUUCAAUGACCAAAACAUCUUAUCACAAUGACUUGGAUCUUCUAAAACGGAACACUGGACAUCAUAAUGAUUUGAAUCUUCGGUUGUUACAUUCAUUCUGAAACGGAACACUGGACAUCAUAAUGAUUUGAAUCUUAAGCUGACACAUUCAUUGUGUACUUUUGCUGCCUAGAGACAAUGGAACUCCUCUUUUAAAAGUGUCAAUGUAAAAAUUCCACUGGAAUCACUCACCGUCAUCUCCAGCGGUCAAGCGUCAAGCCACUGAAAUGCACGCAAAACAUAGUAGUGUUCAGAGUAUGCUAGGAAUAAAAGACAUCUCCGUCUAUGCUUGCAGUGGCUGAAUGGGUACCGUCAAAGUAACUCUUAAUACAAGUUUAUUAGAAGAGCAAAUGAUUUGGGUUUCAACUUUACUACAGUGAAAAACUGAAACAUGUUCGCGGUCAUUCGAUGCAUCUAAUGACUUUACAAGUUCUCAUAAAGAAACGCUGAAUCAAAAUGUCAUUGUACAGUUUCUCUCUGCAUUGUGUAAACCUGUCUGGGGCUUCUUGAUCUAGAACAGUUAAGAGCUGCGCAGUGAUUGGUUCUUUAUAAAUUCAUUAGCUGGUUAGUCCACUCAUUAUGUGCGGAACUGAAAGUUGAUUGGUCCCUGACAGAUUCACAAUAAAAUGUUGUUUACUCGUAUAGCACUCAGGAUUGUGUGUAUAUGUACGUAAAGGGGAUUCCAAGCGUUUUUAUGUCAUCAGCUCAUCUGUCCAGUCUGUAGAUGUUUGUGUACCGCUGUGUGGUGUGUGUACUGUGUUCUCCUGCUAUACUUUAGGGCUGGACUUUUGUCUGUGGUCUAGUCAAUCGAAAUGCAUGAUGGAGUACAUAUUGGCAGAACUAUAACGGCAUGCUUUGACUGAAGACAUGCAUGAAUUUGAAGUUUACAAUGUUUGUUACUAAAAGGGACAACAAUGAUAGCUGCCUAUGUCAGAUCUCUUUUAUAAUAUUUUGGUAAGAGAUCAGUACUUACAGGAAUUGUUCCCCAAAAAAUGACAAUUUUCUAUAAAAAUAAAUAAAAUGUGCUCCCCUUCAGGCCAUCCAAGAUGUAGAUGAGGUUGUUUCUUCAUCAGAUGUGGGGAAAUGUAGCAUUCCAUCACUUGUUCAUCAAUGGAUCCUCUGCAGUGAAUGGGUGCCAUCAGAAUGAGAGUCCAAACAGCUGAUAAAAACAUCACAAUAAUCCACACCACUCCAGUCCAUCAGUUAAGCAAUGGUGAAAACAUUGGAUUUGUUUCUUACAAAAACUCGGGUUUUCACUUCACAAGAUGUUAACUGAUGGACUGGAGUGCUGUGGAUUAUUGUGAUGUUUUUAUCAUCUGUUUGGACUCUCAUUCUGACGGCACCCAUUCACUGCAGAGUUUUCAUUGGUGAGCAAGUGAUGUGAUGCUACAUUACUCCAAAUCUGUUCUCAUGAACAAGCAAACAAACUCAUCUACAUAUUGGAUGGCCUUAAUAAACAUUCAGCAAAGUUUCAGUUUUGGGUGAACUGUUCCUUUAAUAAACAACAUUUAAUUUAUUUAAGAACAGAUCAAGAUGUCUUCUUUUCAAGAAUGUCUUGAGGUAAAAAAAAAGGCACCAUUGACCUGUAUUUUCUCAUGCUUUGCCUCACAUAUUUUUUACAUUGAACAAUGUUCAUGCCUUUGUUUACAGUUGAGUAGAGAGAACUAUGCUCUCUGACAUAGAUAUUGUGCUAAUGAUAAAGCCUGAAAUCUUGUUUCAUACAUGCUCAACAUCAGCAUCAACAUAAACUGGCUUAAACAGACUGUUAAUCACUAGGUAGAGAAUGCAUUAGUAGAAAACCGGGGAAAAUGUUUCUUGUCUUUAACAGAGAUUUUCAUAUUUGAUAUCUGAAGCCCUGAAAGACGGGGCCAAUCCUAGAUUAGCAGAAUCCUAGAUCCGUUUUGUUCCCAAUUAUUGCCUUAAGAGACUUAUUGAUUAUUUAAUAUUUAACUAAUAACAUUUCAUAAUUGUAUCUGUAUUGUGUUACGUUAGUGUGUUUGUUUUCUCUGAGUGCAACAGAAACCAAAUUGAUUGAGACAAAAUGUGCAAUAUGCGAACCUACCCUGAGCAUCCGGCACAUCAGUAAACCCUUCAGUGAUACUUGGUGCCUAUCCCAAUCCCGUCAAUUACUUUGAGGAGAAAGUGCAAUAAAUCUGACAAAUGACAAGAAGAGUCAUAGAGAUUUUCUGAAAGUUGAUGUUUCAUUUUAUCAUCGCUGAUCUUAUGUUUCAUGUGGCAUCAGUCUGGAGAAUCUGGAGAAAUCACCCAUUGCCCUGAAUGUCAGAUGUUUACUCUUUUUACGACUCUGUUAAUGUCGAAAGCUUUGUAAAACUUUUUGGAAUUUGACUUUGUGACAUUUCCAGUAGGCGAUUUUUCUAUUUCCAAGUGUACUCAAAUGGGUAGGAACCUCAGUAGUUAUUGAUGUAAUAGUUUUUUGAUAACUAUUUCCAAGAUGUUUAGAUAUUCUCAGUAGAUUUACUUGGGUUGCAAGAAAUCACUGUAUGUUGUAUGAUAAUUCAGACUCCGUUUGCAGUGUUUAUUAAUGCAGCGAAUUCAUCUCUAUGCUGCAUUCUUACAUCUAUCUAUCUGUCUAUCUAUCUAUCAAUCUAUCUAUCUAUCAUUUGUUUUUCUAAUGAAUUACAAGUAAUAUGUCUCUGUAAAAAUGUUCCUUGUGCACUGAGCCAAGGCUAUUUUUAUUUAUUAAUUUAUUUACUUUUUAAAAAUGUAACUGAUAAUAACAGAGUUAAAUGCACUGUAGUUGUGACUGUCUCGUCUGUUGACUGUGUGAAGGGCAUGUUCAUUGGGUAAAGGGCCAUCUUGGCUUUUUGCAACACACGUCUUCAUGUUUUCUGGUGAUGAUGUUGCAUUUCUGAUGUCCACCAGCGGCUGGACUGUGUUCAUUACUGUAAAUGUGAAGUUAUACAUGUGCCUCUAAUGUACAAAAUGCAUGAAGUACCCAUUGUACGCAUGAGCUAUUAUCAGUGUCAAUGUUUACAUUUAUAUCCCAUCUUUUUUUUUUACAUGUAUUUUUUCACCCAAUUCAUUAGAGAUAUUAUAGAUUGGAAUUGGAAGUGGCAAAGGUAACCUAUUGACAAACAGUUUACAUCUGCUUAGAGAAAUGUGAAAAAGAGUUACUACUUUCCAUGUUAUGAAUCUGUCUUGUUGUCCUCACAGUUUUGUAUGUUGUCUGUCUUGCUCCCCGCUUGUUUUUGUGCACUUCUAUCUGUGAUCAAUCUCUUCUGCCUGUUAAAUUACUUUAAUAAUGACUGACAAUGUCCAAAAUGAUGUGACAUUAAUAUAUAUAAAAUACUGUUAUAAUUCACUAGAAAGUAACAUUUAAUAUUUUUGUUUGUUUUUUGUUGUUUUUGUUCAUUUUCUUAUGGAAGUAGCAUAAAAAGGCAAGACAAAACUAAAGGCGGAGGAGAUUUGUUUUGAAGAACAUGGCAUGAUGUGUACUGUGUCCCAAGAAGAAAAAAAUUAUGUAGCUGUUAGAGCUCAAGCAGACCUUAUUGAAUAUAGUUUAUUUAUUUUAAACA